CAAAAAACAACAGAAAAAACUGUUUUCUUCCAGAAUAUCACAUAAUCACAAAAGCCUGAUGCCUAAAAAUGAUUUCGGUUGUCAGGCACCCCCAGACAGGCAGGACAUUUUAGCCUGUUUCAGAGGUUCCUAGCUACAGGACUUCACUAAGAUCCUGGAGGAUGACCUGUACGCCAUCAUCAAGCCCAGUCAGUGGUCCAGAAGAAGAAAUGUGACUUUAAAUGUUGUCAGUUUUUUUAUAUUGUUAAGAUAUUGUGACAGCUAAGUCCAUGUUGUGCUUGUUUUUAAUAGUGGCUGUGUUUCUGAACCGUUAGGGGACUGUGGGAUCCAUUCUAGCCCGGAAAGAUGAUACCAAGACAGAGGAUGUUGUCUGUGAGCAACUUGUCCAAAGACAUGCUACUCAGGUUCACCCAUAGCGUGUGAGCGACAGAGAGAGUGUGUUCCACUGAUGUAUGGAUGAGUGACCCAGUGUAGCAGCAUGGAGGACCUCUCAAGAGGAGAGCUGCAAUACUUUGCCUGUGCUGUGAUCUGUAUCCGAAAAGCAGACAUCUUUGUGUUGAAGAAGCCAUCCACCUCCCUGGAUGUGAAGCAGUGUCUGAAAGCAGCCAUCACAUUCGCUCCCUCAUCACUCUAGAUGAGCAUGUGUGUGUGAAACGAGCUCACAUCAUCACCAUCUCU
Molecule: long non-coding RNA, 678 nt
Filed under: Scleropages formosus (Asian bonytongue)
Lineage: Eukaryota; Metazoa; Chordata; Actinopteri; Osteoglossiformes; Osteoglossidae
Description: lncRNA (ENSSFOG00015029117.1)
Source: RNAcentral